UUGAACUUGAGUUUGUGGGGUUUUUGAACUUGAGUUUGUGUGUUUGUUGAACUUGAGUUUUUGGCAUCUUUGAACUUGAUUUUAUGGUGUUUUUGAAUUUGAGUUUUUGGCAUCUUUUAACUUGGGUUUAUGGUGUUUUUGAACUUGAGUUUGUCUGUUUGUUGAACUUGAGUUUUUGGCAUCUUUGAACUUGAUUUUAUGGUGUUUUUGAACCUGAUGUUGUGGCAUUUGUUAAACUUGAGAUUUGGGUGUUGGUUGAUCUUAAAAUUUUCACAUUUAUUGAACUUGAGUUUGUGGCAUGUUUGAACUUGUGUUUGUGGCGUGUUUGAACUUGAUUUUGUGGCGUGUUUGAACCUGAGUUUGUGCUGUUUUUUGAACUUGAGUUUCUAUCGUGUUUGAGCUUUAGUUUGUGGUGUUUUUGAACUUGAGUUUGUGUGUUUUUUUAACUUGAGUUUGUGGGGUGUUUGAACUUUAGUUUGUGUGUAAGUUGAACUUGGGUUUGUAGCGUGUUUGAAUUUGAGGUUGUUGCAAAUUUUUAAAAUUGAGAUUUGGGUGUUGGUUGAACUUAAAAUUUUCACAUUUAUUGAACUUGAGUUUGUGGUGUUCGUUGAACUUGAGUUUGUGUGUUUUUUGAACUUGAGUUUGUGUCGUGUUUCAACUUGAAUUUGUGGCGUGUUUGAACUUGAGUUUGUGGGGUUUUUGAACUUGAGUUUGUGUGUUUGUUGAACUUGAGUUUUUGGCAUCUUUGAACUUGAUUUUAUGGUGUUUUUGAAUUUGAGUUUUUGGCAUCUUUUAACUUGGGUUUAUGGUGUUUUUGAACUUGAGUUUGUCUGUUUGUUGAACUUGAGUUUUUGGCAUCUUUGAACUUGAUUUUAUGGUGUUUUUGAACCUGAUGUUGUGGCAUUUGUUAAACUUGAGAUUUGGGUGUUGGUUGAUCUUAAAAUUUUCACAUUUAUUGAACUUGAGUUUGUGGCAUGUUUGAACUUGUGUUUGUGGCGUGUUUGAACUUGAUUUUGUGGCGUGUUUGAACCUGAGUUUGUGCUGUUUUUUGAACUUGAGUUUCUAUCGUGUUUGAGCUUUAGUUUGUGGUGUUUUUGAACUUGAGUUUGUGUGUUUUUUGAACUUGAGUUUGUGGGGUGUUUGAACUUUAGUUUGUGUGUAAGUUGAACUUGGGUUUGUAGCGUGUUUGAAUUUGAGGUUGUAGCAAAUUUUUAAAAUUGAGAUUUGGGUGUUGGUUGAACUUAAAAUUUUCACAUUUAUUGAACUUGAGUUUGUGGUGUUCGUUGAACUUGAGUUUGUGUGUUUUUUGAACUUGAGUUUGUGUCGUGUUUCAACUUGAAUUUGUGGCGUGUUUGAACUUGAGUUUGUGUUUUUUUUAACUUGAGUUUGUGGCGUGUUUGAACUUAAGUUUGUUGCGUGUUUGAACAUGAGUUUGUGUUUUUUUGUGAACUGAAGGUAGUGGAAAUUUUUAAACUUUAGAAAUGGGUAUUUGUUGAACUUGAGUUUAUGGUGUUUUUUGAACUUGAGUUUGUGUCGUGUUUGAACUUGAGUUUGUGGUGUUUUUGAACUUGAGUUUGUGGUGUUUUUGAACUUGAGUUUGUGGUGGUUUUUGAACUUGAGGUUGUGUCGUGUUUGAACUUGAGUUUGUGGGGUUUUUGAACUUGAGUUUGUGUGUUUGUUGAACUUGAGUUUUUGACAUCUUUGAACUUGAUUUUAUGGUGUUUUUGAACUUGAGUUUUUGGCAUCUUUUAACUUGGGUUUAUGGUGUUUUUGAACUUGAGGUUGUGUGUUUGUUGAACUUGAGUUUUUUGCAUCUUUGAACUUGAUUUUAUGGUGUUUUUGAACUUGAGUUUUUGGCAUCUUUUAUGGUGUUUUUGAACUUGAGGUUGUGGCAUUUGUUAAACUUGAGAUUUGGGUGUUGGUUGAACUUAAAAUUUUCACAUUUAUUGAACUUGAGUUUGUGGUGUUCGUUGAACUUGAGUUUGUGUGUUUUUUGAACUUGAGUUUGUGUCGUGUUUCAACUUGAAUUUGUGGCGUGUUUGAACUUGAGUUUGAGUUUUUUUUAACUUGAGUUUGUUGCGUGUUUGAACAUGAGUUUGUGGUUUUUUGUGAACUGAAGGUAGUGGAAAUUUUUAAACUUUAGAAAUGGGUGUUUGUUGAACUUGAGUUUAUGGUGUUUUUUGAACUUGAGUUUGUGUCGUGUUUGAACUUGAGUUUGUGGUGUUUUUGAACUUGAGUUUGUGGGGUUUUUGAACUUGAGGUUGUGUGUUUGUUGAACUUGAGAUUUGGGUGUUGGUUGAACUUAAAAUUUUCACAUUUAUUGAACUUGAGUUUGUGGCAUGUUUGAACUUGAUUUUGUGGCGUGUUUGAACUUGAUUUUGUGGCGUGUUUGAACCUGAGUUUGUGCUGUUUUUUGAACUUGAGUUUCUAUCGUGUUUGAACUUUAGUUUGUGGUGUUUUUGAACUUGAGUUUGUGUGUUUUUUGAACUUGAGUUUGUGGGGUGUUUGAACUUUAGUUUGUGUGUAAGUUGAACUUGGGUUUGUAGCAUGUUUGAAUUUGAAGUUGUUGCAAUUUUUAAAAUUGAGAUUUGGGUGUUGGUUGAACUUAAAAUUUUCACAUUUAUUGAACUUGAGUUUGUGGUGUUCGUUUAACUUGAGUUUGUGUCGUGUUUGAACUUGAGUUUGUGUGUUUGUUGAACUUGAGUUUGAGUCGUGUUUGAACUUAAGUUUGUGGUGUUUUUGAACUUGACUUUGUGUGUUUUUUGAACUUGAGGUCGUGGUGUUUUUGAACUUGAGUUUGUGGGGUGUUUGAACUUGAGUUUGUGUCGUGUUUGAACUUGAGUUUGAGUAUUUGUUGAACUUGAGUUUGUGGCGUGUUUGAAUUUGAGGUUUUUGCAAUUCUUAAAAUUGAGAUUUGGGUGUCGGUAGAACUUGAAACUGUGACAUUUGUUGAGUUUCUGGUUUUUUUUAAGUUGAGGGUGUGGAAUUUGUUGAACUUGAUGUUGUGGGAAUUGUUAAACUUGAGUUUGUGUUUAAGUUGAACUUGAGUUUGUGUCGUGUUUGAACUUGAGUUUUUGUGUUUUUUGAACUUAAGUUUGUGUUGUUUUUGAACAUGGUUUUGUUUCAUGUUUGAACUUGACUUUGUGGCGUUUGUUGAACUUGAGUUUGUGUGGUUGUUUAACUUGAGGUUGUGGCAAUUGUUAAGCUUGAGAUUUGGUUGUUGGUUGAACUUUAGUUUGUGUCGUAUUUGAACUUGAUUUUUUGGUGUUUUUGAACUUGACUUUGUGUGUUUGUUGAACUUGAGUAUGUGGUUUUUUUUAACUUGAGUUUGUGUCGUGUUUGAACUUGAGUUGCUUGUAUGGUGAACUUGAGUUUGUGUUUUUUUUAAACUUGAGUUUCUGUUGUUCUUGAACUUGGGGUUGUGGAAAUUGUUAAACUUGAGAAUAAGAUGUUGGUUUAACUUGAGUUUGUGUGUUUGUUGAACUUGAGUUUGUGUUGUGUUUGAACUUGAGUUUUUGGUGUUUUUGAACUUGAGUUUGUUUUUUGUUAGAGUUUGAGUUUGUGUCGUUUGAACUUGAGGUUGUGGAAAUUGUUUAACUUGAGAAUUGGGUAUUGGUUGAACUUGAGUUUUUGGUGUUUUUGAACUUGAGUUUGUGAUGUUUUUGAACAUAAGGUUGUGGAGAUUUUUUAAAUUGAGAAUUGGGUAUUGGUUGAACUUGAGUUUUUGUUGUUUUUUCACUUGAGUUUGUGUCGUGUAUAAACUUUGGUUUUGGUGUGUUUUAGCUUGAGUUUGUGUGUUUGUUGAACUUGAGCAGGUGGCAAUUGUUAAACUUAAGAUUUGGGUGUUGGUUGAAUUUGAGUUUGUGUCAUUUCUGAACUUGUGUUCAUGAUGUUUGUUUAACUUUAUUUUGUGUGUUUUUUUAACUUGAGGUUUUGAAAAUUUUUAAACUUGAGAAUCAGGUGUUGGUUGAACUUGAGAUUGUGUCGUUUUUUUAACUGGAGUUUGUGUAGUUUUUGAACUUGAGUAUGUGGUGUUUUUGAACUUGAGGUUGUGGAAAUUGUUAAACUUGAGAAUCUGGUAUUGACUGAACUUGAGUCAUUGGUGUUUUUGAACUUGAGUUUGUGUCGUGUUUGAACUUGAGUUUGUGGUGUUUUUGACCUUGAAUUUGCGUGUUUGGUAAACUUGAGUUUCUGUGUUUAUUGAACUUGAGUUUCUGUUGUUUUUGAACUUGAAGUUGUGGAAAUUGUUAAACUUGAGAAUCAGGUGUUGGUUGAACUUGAAUUUGUGGUGUUUUUGAACUUGAGUUUGUGUCGUGUUUGCACUUGAGUUUGUGGUGUUUUUGAACUUGAUUUGCUGUGUUUGUUGAACCUGAGUUUUUGGUCUUUUUGAACUUGAGUUGGUGGUGAUUUUGAACUUGAGUUUGUGGUUUUUUUUGAAGUUGAGAGUGUGGAAUUUUUUGAACUUGAGGUUGUGGCAAUUGUUAAACUUGAGUUUGUGUUUUAGUUGAACCUGAGUUUGUUUCGUGUUUGAACUUGAGUUUGUGGUUUUUUUAAACAUGACUUUGUAGUAUUUUUGAAGUUGAGGGGAUAGAAUUUGUGAAACUUGAGGUUGUGGCAAUUGUUAAACUUGAGAUUUGGGUGUUGGUUAGACAUGAGUUUGUGUUGUUUUUGAACUUGAGUUUGUGGCGUUUCUGAACUUGAGUUGGUGGUGUUUUUGAACUUGAGUUCCAUGCUUGAACUUGAUUUUGUGGUUUUUGUUGAACUUGAGUUUGUGUCGUGUUUGAACUUCAGUUUGAGGUGUUUUUUAACUUGAGUUUGUGGUUUUCUUUAAGUUGAGGGUGUGGAAUUUGUUGAAUUUGAGGUUGUGGCAAUUGUUAAACUUGAGUUUGUGUUUUAGUUGAACUUGAGUUUGUGUCGUGUUUGAACUUGAGUUUUUGUGUUUGUUGAACUUAAGUUUGUGUUGUUUUGGAACAUGAGUUUGUUUCAUGUUUGAACUUGAGAUUGUGGCGUCUGUUGAACUUGAGUUUGUGUGUUUGUUGAACUUGAGGGUGUGGCAAUUGUUAAACUUUAGAUUUGGGUGUUGGUUGAACUUGAGUUUUUGUUGUUUUUGAACUGGAGUUUGUGGAUUUUUGAAGUUGAGGGUGUGGAAUUUGUUGAACUUGAGGUUGUGGCAAUUGUUAUACUUGAGUUUGUGUUUUAGUUGAACUUGAGUUUGUGUCAUGUUUGAACUUCAGUUUUUGUGUUUGUUGAACUUUAGUUUAUGUUGUGUUUGAACUUGAGUUUUUGUUGUAUUUGAAAUUGACUUUGUGUGUUUGUUGAACUUGAGUUUGUGUUGUGUCUGAACUUGGGUUAGUGGUGUUUUUGAACUUGAGUUUGUGUCGUGUUUGCACUUGAGUUUGUGGUGUUUUUGAACUUGAUUUGGUGUGUUUGUUGAACUUGAGUUUGUGGUCUUUUUGAACUUGAGUUGGUGGUGAUUUUGAACUUGAGUUUCGUGUUUGAACUUGAGUUUGUGGUUUUUGUUGAACUUGAGUUUGUGUCAUGUUUGAACUUGAGUUUGUGUCGUGUUUGCACUUGAGUUUGUGGUGUUUUUGAACUUGAUUUGCUGUGUUUGUUGAACCUGAGUUUUUGGUCUUUUUGAACCUGAGUUGGUGGUGAUUUUGAACUUGAGUUUGUGGUUUUUUUUGAAGUUGAGAGUGUGGAAUUUUUUGAACUUGAGGUUGUGGCAAUUGUUAAACUUGAGUUUGUGUUUUAGUUGAACCUGAGUUUGUUUCGUGUUUGAACUUGAGUUUGUGGUUUUUUUAAACAUGACUUUGUAGUAUUUUUGAAGUUGAGGGGAUAGAAUUUGUGAAACUUGAGGUUGUGGCAAUUGUUAAACUUGAGAUUUGGGUGUUGGUUAGACAUGAGUUUGUGUUGUUUUUGAACUUGAGUUUGUGGCGUUUCUGAAUUUGAGUUGGUGGUGUUUUUGAACUUGAGUUCCAUGCUUGAACUUGAUUUUGUGGUUUUUGUUGAACUUGAGUUUGUGUCGUGUUUGAACUUCAGUUUGAGGUGUUUUUUAACUUGAGUUUGUGGUUUUCUUUAAGUUGAGGGUGUGGAAUUUGUUGAAUUUGAGGUUGUGGCAAUUGUUAAACUUGAGUUUGUGUUUUAGUUGAACUUGAGUUUGUGUCGUGUUUGAACUUGAGUUUUUGUGUUUGUUGAACUUAAGUUUGUGUUGUUUUGGAACAUGAGUUUGUUUCAUGUUUGAACUUGAGAUUGUGGCGUUUGUUGAACUUGAGUUUGUGUGUUUGUUGAACUUGAGGGUGUGGCAAUUGUUAAAUUUUAGAUUUGGGGGUUGGUUGAACUUGAUUUUUUGUUGUUUUUGUACUGGAGUUUGUGGUUUUUUUGAAGUUGAGGGUGUGGAAUUUGUUGAAUUUAAGGUUGUGGCAAUUGUUAUACUUGAGUUUGUGUUUUAGUUGAACUUGAGUUUGUGUCAUGUUUGAACUUCAGUUUUUGUGUUUGUUGAACUUUAGUUUAUGUUGUGUUUGAACUUGAGUUUUUGUUGUAUUUGAAAUUGACUUUGUGUGUUUGUUGAACUUGAGUUUGUGUCAUGUUUGAACUUGAGUUUGUGGUGUUUUUGAACAUGAGUUUGUGUCGUGUUUGCACUUGAGUUUGUGGUGUUUUUGAACUUGAUUUGCUGUGUUUGUUGAACUUGAGUUUUUGGUCUUUUUGAACUUGAGUUGGUGGUGAUUUUGAACUUGAGUUUGUGGUAUUUUUGAAGUUGAGGGUGUGGAAUUUUUUUAAAUUGAGGUUGUGGAAAUUGUUAAACUUGAGUUUGUGUGUUAUUUGAACUCUAGUUUGUGCCGUGUUUGAACUUGAGUUUGUGGUGUUUGUUGAACUUGAGUUUGUGUUGUGAUUGCAAUUGAGUUUGUGGUGUUUUUGAACUUGAGAUUGUGUUGUGUUUGAACUUGAGUUUGUGGUGUUUGUUGAACUUGAGUUUGUGUCUUGUUUGUACUUGAGUUUGUGGUGUUUUUUAACUCUAUUUUGUGUGUUUGUUGAACUUGAGUUUCGUGUUUGAACUUGAGUUUUUGGUUUUUGUUGAACUUGAGUUUGUGUCGUGUUUGAACUUGAGUUUCUGUUUUUUUGAAGUUGAGGGUGUGGAAUUUGUUGAACUUGAUGUUGUGGGAAUUGUUAAACUUGAGUUUGUGUUUAAGUUGAACUUGAGUUUGUGUCGUGUUUGAACUUGAAUUUUCUUGUUUGUUGAACUUUAGUUUAUGUUGUGUUUGAACUUGAGUUUCUGGUUUUUUGAAGUUGAGGGUGUGGAAUUUGUUGAACUUGAUGUUGUGGGAAUUGUUAAACUUGAGUUUGUGUUUAAGUUGAACUUGAGUUUGUGUCGUGUUUGAACUUGAGUUUUUGUGUUUGUUGAACUUAAGUUUGUGUUGUUUUUGAACAUGAGUUUGUUUCAUGUUUGAACUUGACUUUGUGGCGUUUGUUGAACUUGAGUUUGUGUGGUUGUUUAACUUGAGGUUGUGGUAAUUGUUAAGCUUCAGAUUUGGUUGUUGGUUGAACUGUAAUUUGUGUUGUGUUUGAACUUGAGUUUGUGGUUUUUGUUGAACUUGAGUUUGUGUCAUGUUUGAACUUGAGUUUGUGGUGUUUUUGAACAUGAGUUUGUGUCGUGUUUGCACUUGAGUUUGUGGUGUUUUUGAACUUGAUUUGCUGUGUUUGUUGAACUUGAGUUUUUGGUCUUUUUGAACUUGAGUUGGUGGUGAUUUUGAACUUGAGUUUGUGGUAUUUUUGAAGUUGAGGGUGUGGAAUUUUUUUAAAUUGAGGUUGUGGAAAUUGUUAAACUUGAGUUUGUGUGUUAUUUGAACUCUAGUUUGUGCCGUGUUUGAACUUGAGUUUGUGGUGUUUGUUGAACUUGAGUUUGUGUUGUGAUUGCAAUUGAGUUUGUGGUGUUUUUGAACUUGAGAUUGUGUUGUGUUUGAACUUGAGUUUGUGGUGUUUGUUGAACUUGAGUUUGUGUCUUGUUUGUACUUGAGUUUGUGGUGUUUUUUAACUCUAUUUUGUGUGUUUGUUGAACUUGAGUUUCGUGUUUGAACUUGAGUUUUUGGUUUUUGUUGAACUUGAGUUUGUGUCGUGUUUGAACUUGAGUUUCUGUUUUUUUGAAGUUGAGGGUGUGGAAUUUGUUGAACUUGAUGUUGUGGGAAUUGUUAAACUUGAGUUUGUGUUUAAGUUGAACUUGAGUUUGUGUCGUGUUUGAACUUGAAUUUUCUUGUUUGUUGAACUUUAGUUUAUGUUGUGUUUGAACUUGAGUUUCUGGUUUUUUGAAGUUGAGGGUGUGGAAUUUGUUGAACUUGAUGUUGUGGGAAUUGUUAAACUUGAGUUUGUGUUUAAGUUGAACUUGAGUUUGUGUCGUGUUUGAACUUGAGUUUUUGUGUUUGUUGAACUUAAGUUUGUGUUGUUUUUGAACAUGAGUUUGUUUCAUGUUUGAACUUGACUUUGUGGCGUUUGUUGAACUUGAGUUUGUGUGGUUGUUUAACUUGAGGUUGUGGUAAUUGUUAAGCUUCAGAUUUGGUUGUUGGUUGAACUGUAAUUUGUGUUGUGUUUGAACUUGAGUUUGAUUCGUGUUUGAACUUGAGUUUGUGGUUUUUGUUGAACUUGAGUUUGUGUGUUUUUUGAACUUGAUUUUUUGGUGUUUUUGAACUUGACUUUGUGUGUUUGUUGAACUUCAGUAUGUGUUUUUUUUACUUGAGUUUGUGUCGUGUUUGAACUUGAGUUGCUUGUAUGGUGAACUUGAGUUUGUGUGUUUUUUAAACUUGAGUUUCUGUUGUUCUUGAACUUGGGGUUGUGGAAAUUGUUAAACUUGAGAAUAGGAUGUUGGUUUAACUUGAGUUUGUGUGUUUGUUGAACUUGAGUUUGUGUUGUGUUUGAACUUGAGUUUGUGGUGUUUUUGAACUUGAGUUUGUUUUUUGUUAGCGUUUGAGUUUGUGUCGUUUGAACUUGAGGUUGUGGAAAUUGUUUAACUUGAGAAUUGGGUAUUGGUUGAACUUGAGUUUUUGGUGUUUUUGAACUUGAGUUUGUGUCGUGUUUGAACUUGAGUUUGUGGUGUUUUUGAACUUGAGUUUGUUUUUUGUUAGCGUUUGAGUUUGUGUCGUUUGAACUUGAGGUUGUGGAAAUUGUUUAACUUGAGAAUUGGGUAUUGGUUGAACUUGAGUUUUUGGUGUUUUUGAACUUGAGUUUGUGUCGUGUUUGAACUUGAGUUUGUGGUGUUUGGUCAACUUGAGUUUGUGUCGUGUUUGAACUUAUGUUUGUGGUGUUUUUGAACUUGAGUUUGUGUCAUGUUUGAACUUAAGUUUGUGGUGUUUUUGAACUUGAGUUUGUGUCAUGUUUGAACUUGAGUUUGUGGUGUUUUUGAACUUGAGUUUGUGAUGUUUUUGAACAUAAGGUUGUGGAGAUUAUUUAAAUUGAGAAUUGGGUAUUGGUUGAACUUGAGUUUUUGUUGCUUUUUAACUUGAGUUUGUGUCGUGUAUAAACUUUGGUUUUGGAAUGUUUUAACUUGAGUUUGUUCGUUUUUUGAACUUGAGCAGGUGGCAAUUGUUAAACUUAAGAUUUGGGUGUUGGUUGAAUUUGAGUUUGUGUCAUGUCUGAACUUCUGUUCAUGAUGUUUGUUUAACUUUAUUUUGAGUGUUUUUUGAACUUGAGGUUUUGAAAAUUUUUAAACUUGAGAAUCAGGUGUUGGUUGAACUUGAGUUUGUGUCGUUUUUUUAACUGGAGUUUGUGUCGUGCUUGAACUUGAGUAUGUGGUGUUUUUGAACAUGAGGUUGUGGAAAUUGUUAAACUUGAGAAUCUGGUAUUGGUUGAACUUGAACUUGGUGUUUUUGAACUUGAGUUUGUGUCGUGUUUGAACUUUAGUUUGUGGUGUUUUUGACCUUGAAUUUGCGUGUUUGGUAAACUUGAGUUUGUGUGUUUAUUGAACUUGAGUUUCUGUUGUUUUUGAACUUGAAGUUGUGGAAAUUGUUAAACUUGAGAAUCAGGUGUUGGUUGAACUUGAGUUUGUGUCGUUUUUUUAACUGGAGUUUGUGUCGUGCUUGAACUUGAGUAUGUGGUGUUUUUGAACUUGAGGUUGUGGAAAUUGUUAAACUUGAGAAUCUGGUAUUGGUUGAACUUGAGUCAUUGGUGUUUUUGAACUUGAGUUUGUGUCGUGUUUGAACUUGAGUUUUUGGUGUUUUUGACCUUGAAUUUGCGUGUUUGGUAAACUUGAGUUUGUGUGUUUAUUGAACUUGAGUUUCUGUUGUUUUUGAACUUGAAGUUGUGGAAAUUGUUAAACUUGAGAAUCAGGUGUUGGUUGAACUUGAGUUUGUGAUUUUGUUGAACUUGAGUUUGUGUCGUGUUUGAACUUGAGUAUGUUGUGGUGUUUGAACUUAAGUUUUUGUGUUCGUUGAACAUGAGUUUGAGGUGUGUUUGAACUUGAGUUUGUGGUGUUUGUUGAACUUGAGUGUCAUGUUUGAACUUGAGUUUUUGGCGUGUUUGACCUUGAGUUUGUGGUGUGUUUGAACUUGAGUUUGUGUGUUUGUUGCACUUGAGGUUGUGGCAAUUUUUUAACUUGAGACUUGGGUGUUGGUUGAACUUGAGUUUGUGUCCUGUUUGAACUUGAGUUCGUUUUGUUUGUUGAACUUGAGUUUUUGAAAAUUUUUAAACUUGAGAAUCAGGUGUUGGUUGAACUUUAGUUUUUGGUGUUUUUUUUUUUAACUUGAGUAUGUGUCAUGUUUGAACUUGAGUUUGUGUGUUUUUUGAACUUGAGUUUCUGUUGUUUUUGAACUUAAGGUUGUGGAAAUUUUUAAACUUGAGAAUUGUGUAUUGUUUGAACUUUAGUUUGUGAGUUUGUUAAACUUGAGUUUGUGUCGUGUUUUAACUUGAGUUUGUGAUGUUUUUGAACUUGAGUUUGUGAUGUUUUUGAACUUGAGGUUGUGGAGAUUUUUUAACUUGAGAAUUGGGUGUUGGUUGGACUUGAGUUUGUGGGUUUUUUUUACUUGAGUUUGUGUCGUGUUUUAACUUGAGUUUGUGGUUUUUUUGAACUUGAGGUUGUGGAAAUUGUUAAACUUGAGAAUCUGGUAUUGGUUGAACUUGAGUCAUUGGUGUUUUUGAACUCUAGUUUGUGUCGUGUUUGAACUUGAGUUUGUGUGAUUGUUGAACUUGAGGUUGUGGCAAGUGUUUAACUUGAGAUUUGGGUGUUGGUUGAACUUGAGUUUGUGUUGUUUUUGAACUUGAGUUUGUGGCGUUUCUGAACUUGAGUUGGUGGUGUUUUUGAACUUGAGUUCCAUGUUUGAACUUGAUUUUGUGGUUUUUGUUGAACUUGAGUUUGUGUCGUGUUUGAACUUCAGUUUGUGGUGUUUUUUAACUUGAGUUUGUGUUUUUUUUUAAGUUGAGAGUGUGGAAUUUUUUGAACUUCAGGUUGUGGCAAUUGUUAAACUUGAGUUUGUGUUUUAGUUGAACUUGAGUUUGUGUCGUGUUUGAACUUGAGUUUGUGGUGUUUUUAAACAUGACUUUGUGGUAUUUUUGAAUUUGAGGGGGUAGAAUUUGUUGAACUUGAGGUUGUGGCAAUUGUUAAACUUGAGAUUUGGGUGUUGGUUGAACUUGAGUUUGUGUUGUUUUUGAACUUGAGUUUGUGGCGUUUCUGAAUUUGAGUUGGUGGUGUUUUUGAACUUGAGUUUCAUGUUUGAACUUGAUUUUGUGGUUUUUGUUGAACUUGAGUUUGUGUCGGUGUGAACUUUAGUUUGUGGUGUUUUUUAACUUGAGUUUGUGGUUUUUUUGAAGUUGAGAGUGUGGAAUUUUUUGAACUUGAGGUUGUGGCAAUUGUUAAACUUGAGUUUGUGUUUUAGUUGAACUUGAGUUUGUGUCGUGUUUGAACUUGAGUUUUUGUGUUUGUUGAACUUAAGUUUGUGUUGUUUUUGAACAUGAGUUUGUUUCAUGUUUGAACUUGAGAUUGUGGCGUUUGUUGAACUUGAGGGUGUGGCAAUUGUUAAAUUUUAGAUUUGGGGGUUGGUUGAACUUGAUUUUUUGUUGUUUUUGUACUGGAGUUUGUGGUUUUUUUGAAGUUAAGGGUGUGGAAUUUGUUGAAUUUGAGGUUGUGGCGAUUGUUUAACUUGAGUUUGUGUUUUAGUUGAACUUGAGUUUGUGUCAUGUUUGAACUUAAGUUUUUGUGUUUGUUGAACUUUAGUUUAUGUUAUGUUUGAACUUGAGUUUUUGUUGUAUUUGAAAUUGACUUUGUGUGUUUGCUGAACUUGAGUUUGUGUUGUGUCUGAACUUUAGUUAGUGGUGUUUUUGAACUUGAGUUUGUGUCGUGUUUGCACUUUAGUUUGUGGUGUUUUUGAACUUGAUUUGGUGUGUUUGUUGAACUUGAGUUUGUGGUCUUUUUGAACUUGAGUUGGUGGUGAUUUUGAACUUGAGUUUCGUGUUUGAACUUGAGUUUGUGGUUUUUGUUUAACUUGAGUUUGUGUCGUGUUUGAACUUGAGUUUGUGGUGUUUUUGAACUUGAGUUUGUGUCGUGUUUGCACUUGAGUUUGUGGUGUUUUUGAACUUGAUUUGCUGUGUUUGUUGAACUUGUGUUUUUGGUCUUUUUGAACUUGAGUUGGUGGUGAUUUUGAACUUGAGUUUGUGGUAUUUCUGAAGUUGAGGGUGUGGAAUUUUUUAAACUUGAGGUUGUGAAAAUUGUGAAACUUGAGUUUGUGUGUUAUUUGAACUCUAGUUUGUGCCGUGUUCGAACUUGAGUUUGUGGUGUUUGUUGAACUCUAUUUUUUGAGUUUGUUGAACUUGAGUUUCGUGUUCGAACUUGAGUUUGUGGUGUUUGUUGAACUCUAUUUUUUGAGUUUGUUGAACUUGAGUUUCGUGUUUGAACUUGAGUUUUUGGUUUUUGUUGAACUUGAGUUUGUGUCGUGUUUGAACUUGAGUUUCUGGUUUUUUGAAGUUGAGGGUGUGGAAUUUGUUGAACUUGAUGUUGUGGGAUUUGUUUAACUUGAGUUUUUGUUUAAGUUGAACUUGAGUUUGUGUCGUGUUUGAACUUGAGUUUUUGUGUUUGUUGAACUUAAGUUUGUGUUGUUUUUGAACAUGAGUUUGUUUCAUGUUUGAACUUGACUUUGUGGCGUUUGUUUAACUUGAGUUUGUGUGGUUUUUUAACUUGAGGUUGUGGCAGUUGUUAAGCUUGAGAUUUGGUUGUUGGUUGAACUCUAGUUUGUGUCGUGUUUGAACUUGAGUUUGUGGUUUUUGUUGAACUUGAGUUUGUGGUUUUUGUUGAACUUAAGUUUGUGUGUUUUUUGAACUUGAGUUUCUGUUGUUUUUGAACUUAAGGUUGUGGAAAUCUUUAAACUUGAGAAUUGUGUAUUGUUUGAUCUUUAGUUUGUGUGUUUGUUAAACUUGAGUUUGUGUCGUGUUUGAACUUGAGUUUGUGAUGUUUUUGAACUUGAGGUUGUGGAAAUUUUUAAACUUGAGAAUUGUGUAUUGGUUGAACUUGAGUCAUUGGUGUUUUUGAACUUGAGUUUGUGUCGUGUUUGAACUUGAGUUUGUGGUGUUUUUGACCUUGAAUUUGCGUGUUUGGUAAACUUGAGUUUGUGUGUUUAUUGAACUUGAGUUUCUGUUGUUUUUGAACUUGAAGUUGUGGAAAUUGUUAAACUUGAGAAUCAGGUAUUGGUUGAACUUGAGUUUGUGAUUUUGUUGAACUUGAGUUUGUGUCGUGUUUGAACUUGAGUAUGUUGUGGUGUUUGAACUUAAGUUUUUGUGUUCGUUGAACAUGAGUUUGAGGUGUGUUUGAACUUGAGUUUGUGGUGUUUGUUGAACUUGAGUGUCAUGUUUGAACUUGAGUUUUUGGCGUGUUUGACCUUGAGUUUGUGGUGUGUUUGAACUUGAGUUUGUGUGUUUGUUGCACUUGAGGUUGUGGCAAUUUUUUAACUUGAGACUUGGGUGUUGGUUGAACUUGAGUUUGUGUCCUGUUUGAACUUGAGUUCGUUUUGUUUGUUGAACUUGAGUUUUUGAAAAUUUUUAAACUUGAGAAUCAGGUGUUGGUUGAACUUGAGUUUUUGGUGUUUUUUUUUAACUUGAGUAUGUGUCAUGUUUGAACUUGAGUUUGUGUGUUUUUUGAACUUGAGUUUCUGUUGUUUUUGAACUUAAGGUUGUGGAAAUUUUUAAACUUGAGAAUUGUGUAUUGUUUGAACUUUAGUUUGUGAGUUUGUUAAACUUGAGUUUGUGUCGUGUUUUAACUUGAGUUUGUGAUGUUUUUGAACUUGAGUUUGUGAUGUUUUUGAACUUGAGGUUGUGGAGAUUUUUUAACUUGAGAAUUGGGUGUUGGUUGGACUUGAGUUUGUGGGUUUUUUUUACUUGAGUUUGUGUCGUGUUUUAACUUGAGUUUGUGGUUUUUUUGAACUUGAGGUUGUGGAAAUUGUUAAACUUGAGAAUCUGGUAUUGGUUGAACUUGAGUCAUUGGUGUUUUUGAACUCUAGUUUGUGUCGUGUUUGAACUUGAGUUUGUGUGAUUGUUGAACUUGAGGUUGUGGCAAUUGUUUAACUUGAGAUUUGGGUGUUGGUUGAACUUGAGUUUGUGUUGUUUUUGAACUUGAGUUUGUGGCGUUUCUGAACUUGAGUUGGUGGUGUUUUUGAACUUGAGUUUCAUGUUUGAACUUGAUUUUGUGGUUUUUGUUGAACUUGAGUUUGUGUCGUGUUUGAACUUCAGUUUGUGGUGUUUUUUAACUUGAGUUUGUGUUUUUUUUUAAGUUGAGAGUGUGGAAUUUUUUGAACUUCAGGUUGUGGCAAUUGUUAAACUUGAGUUUGUGUUUUAGUUGAACUUGAGUUUGUGUCGUGUUUGAACUUGAGUUUGUGGUGUUUUUAAACAUGACUUUGUGGUAUUUUUGAAUUUGAGGGGGUAGAAUUUGUUGAACUUGAGGUUGUGGCAAUUGUUAAACUUGAGAUUUGGGUGUUGGUUGAACUUGAGUUUGUGUUGUUUUUGAACUUGAGUUUGUGGCGUUUCUGAAUUUGAGUUGGUGGUGUUUUUGAACUUGAGUUUCAUGUUUGAACUUGAUUUUGUGGUUUUUGUUGAACUUGAGUUUGUGUCGGUGUGAACUUUAGUUUGUGGUGUUUUUUAACUUGAGUUUGUGGUUUUUUUGAAGUUGAGAGUGUGGAAUUUUUUGAACUUGAGGUUGUGGCAAUUGUUAAACUUGAGUUUGUGUUUUAGUUGAACUUGAGUUUAUGUCGUGUUUGAACUUGAGUUUUUGUGUUUGUUGAACUUGAGUUUAUGUCGUGUUUGAACUUGAGUUUGUGUUGUUUUUGAACAUGAGUUUGUUUCAUGUUUGAACUUGAGAUUGUGGCGUUUGUUGAACUUGAGGGUGUGGCAAUUGUUAAAUUUUAGAUUUGGGGGUUGGUUGAACUUGAUUUUUUGUUGUUUUUGUACUGGAGUUUGUGGUUUUUUUGAAGUUAAGGGUGUGGAAUUUGUUGAAUUUGAGGUUGUGGCGAUUGUUUAACUUGAGUUUGUGUUUUAGUUGAACUUGAGUUUGUGUCAUGUUUGAACUUAAGUUUUUGUGUUUGUUGAACUUUAGUUUAUGUUAUGUUUGAACUUGAGUUUUUGUUGUAUUUGAAAUUGACUUUGUGUGUUUGCUGAACUUGAGUUUGUGUUGUGUCUGAACUUUAGUUAGUGGUGUUUUUGAACUUGAGUUUGUGUCGUGUUUGCACUUUAGUUUGUGGUGUUUUUGAACUUGAUUUGGUGUGUUUGUUGAACUUGAGUUUGUGGUCUUUUUGAACUUGAGUUGGUGGUGAUUUUGAACUUGAGUUUCGUGUUUGAACUUGAGUUUGUGGUUUUUGUUUAACUUGAGUUUGUGUCGUGUUUGAACUUGAGUUUGUGGUGUUUUUGAACUUGAGUUUGUGUCGUGUUUGCACUUGAGUUUGUGGUGUUUUUGAACUUGAUUUGCUGUGUUUGUUGAACUUGUGUUUUUGGUCUUUUUGAACUUGAGUUGGUGGUGAUUUUGAACUUGAGUUUGUGGUAUUUCUGAAGUUGAGGGUGUGGAAUUUUUUAAACUUGAGGUUGUGAAAAUUGUGAAACUUGAGUUUGUGUGUUAUUUGAACUCUAGUUUGUGCCGUGUUCGAACUUGAGUUUGUGGUGUUUGUUGAACUCUAUUUUUUGAGUUUGUUGAACUUGAGUUUCGUGUUCGAACUUGAGUUUGUGGUGUUUGUUGAACUCUAUUUUUUGAGUUUGUUGAACUUGAGUUUCGUGUUUGAACUUGAGUUUUUGGUUUUUGUUGAACUUGAGUUUGUGUCGUGUUUGAACUUGAGUUUCUGGUUUUUUGAAGUUCAGGGUGUGGAAUUUGUUGAACUUGAUGUUGUGGGAUUUGUUUAACUUGAGUUUUUGUUUAAGUUGAACUUGAGUUUGUGUCGUGUUUGAACUUGAGUUUUUGUGUUUGUUGAACUUAAGUUUGUGUUGUUUUUGAACAUGAGUUUGUUUCAUGUUUGAACUUGACUUUGUGGCGUUUGUUUAACUUGAGUUUGUGUGGUUUUUUAACUUGAGGUUGUGGCAGUUGUUAAGCUUGAGAUUUGGUUGUUGGUUGAACUCUAGUUUGUGUCGUGUUUGAACUUGAGUUUGUGGUUUUUGUUGAACUUGAGUUUGUGGUUUUUGUUGAACUUGAGUUUGUGUGUUUUUUGAACUUGAGUUUCUGUUGUUUUUGAACUUAAGGUUGUGGAAAUCUUUAAACUUGAGAAUUGUGUAUUGUUUGAUCUUUAGUUUGUGUGUUUGUUAAACUUGAGUUUGUGUCGUGUUUGAACUUGAGAUUGUGAUGUUUUUGAACUUGAGGUUGUGGAAAUUUUUAAACUUGAGAAUUGUGUAUUGUUUGAACUUUAGUUUGUGAGUUUGUUAAACUUGAGUUUGUGUCGUGUUUUAACUUGAGUUUUUGAUGUUUUUGAACUUGAGGUUGUGGAGAUUUUUUAACUUGAGAAUUGGGUGUUGGUUGAACUUGAGUUUGUGUUUUUUUUUUACUUGAGUUUGUGUCGUGUUUUAACUUGAGUUUGUGGUUUUUUUGAACUUGAGGUUGUGGAAAUUGUUAAACUUGAGAAUCUGGUAUUGGUUGAACUUGAGUCAUUGGUGUUUUUGAACUCUAGUUUGUGUCGUGUUUGAACUUGAGUUUGUGUGAUUGUUGAACUUGAGGUUGUGGCAAUUGUUUAACUUGAGAUUUGGGUGUUGGUUGAACUUGAGUUUGUGUUGUUUUUGAACUUGAGUUUGUGGCGUUUCUGAACUUGAGUUGGUGGUGUUUUUGAACUUGAGUUUCAUGUUUGAACUUGAUUUUGUGGUUUUUGUUGAACUUGAGUUCGUGUCGUGUUUGAACUUCAGUUUGUGGUGUUUUUUAACUUGAGUUUGUGUUUUUUUUUAAGUUGAGAGUGUGGAAUUUUUUGAACUUCAGGUUGUGGCAAUUGUUAAACUUGAGAAUCUGGUAUUGGUUGAACUUGAGUCAUUGGUGUUUUUGAACUUGAGUUUGUGUCGUGUUUGAACUUGAGUUUGUGGUGUUUUUGACCUUGAAUUUGCAUGUUUGGUAAACUUGAGUUUGUGUGUUUAUUGAACUUGAGUUUCUGUUGUUUUUGAACUUGAAGUUGUGGAAAUUGUUAAACUUGAGAAUCAGGUGUUGGUUGAACUUGAGUUUGUGAUUUUGUUGAACUUGAGUUUGUGUCGUGUUUGAACUUGAGUAUGUUGUGGUGUUUGAACUUAAGUUUUUGUGUUCGUUGAACAUGAGUUUGAGGUGUGUUUGAACUUGAGUUUGUGGUGUUUGUUGAACUUGAGUGUCAUGUUUGAACUUGAGUUUUUGGCGUGUUUGACCUUGAGUUUGUGGUAUGUUUGAACUUGAGUUUGUGUGUUUGUUGCACUUGAGGUUGUGGCAAUUUUUUAACUUGAGACUUGGGUGUUGGUUGAACUUGAGUUUGUGUCCUGUUUGAACUUGAGUUCGUUUUGUUUGUUGAACUUGAGUUUUUGAAAAUUUUUAAACUUGAGAAUCUGGUAUUGGUUGAACUUGAGUCAUUGGUGUUUUUGAACUUGAGAGUCAUGUUUGAACUUGAGUUUUUGGCGUGUUUGACCUUGAGUUUGUGGUAUGUUUGAACUUGAGUUUGUGUGUUUGUUGCACUUGAGGUUGUGGCAAUUUUUUAACUUGAGACUUGGGUGUUGGUUGAACUUGAGUUUGUGUCCUGUUUGAACAUUAGUUCGUUUUGUUUGUUGAACUUGAGUUUUUGAAAAUUUUUAAACUUGAGAAUCAGGUGUUGGUUGAACUUGAGUUUUUGGUGUUUUUUUUAACUUGAGUAUGUGUCAUGUUUGAAC
Molecule: non-coding RNA, 18300 nt
Organism: Xyrichtys novacula (pearly razorfish)
Lineage: Eukaryota; Metazoa; Chordata; Actinopteri; Labriformes; Labridae
Source: the annotation of a GenBank genome assembly